UCAUGUGGGGCGUGUGUGGUGUGAAAACAGGAAAAUGCGUGUGUCUCACACUCACUGCGUGAGACUUGAGAGCUCUGCUGUUAUCGAUCAGCAGAUGUUGGGGGUCUGAAGACACAGUUUGUGUGCUAUGUGAAAGGAGAAGAGGGGGUUAGAAGAAUGCAGGGCAGUUGGUUUGCAAUUGUAGCCAGUUCAGGAGAUCCUUCUGUAGAGACGAGUUCAAUGGAGGCAAACAACUGUCAAGAUGCGUCGUGGCAAGUCCUUGGAGGAACACAAACAUGGACAGGUUUGUGCCACAGUGCUGUCUGGAUUUUUUUGCCCACCCAGGAUUGUUGCAACCACAACAAGGAACCAUUCUGUGAACUUUGAAGAAAUCAAGAACCUGGCCACUCUGCCUUAAGAUAUUUACCACUCUGUUGGAUCAUCCUCUCUACCAGGACUAACUCGGCCAUGGGAACCUAUCUGACAGAGUUCCCUUGUUCCACACCUGUAAAUAAAAUCACUUACCUUUUUCAUCCACCUUCUAUGUUUUGGUCACUCAGUUCCACUCUACUUCCUGACUUCCUGACUUUGUCAUUUACUGUAUGUAUUUAGGAUGACUUAAAGUAGGGGUGGCCUUUGUCGGCCACUGUUUUGCUCCAACACACCUGGUUUUACAGAAAAUGGAUGGAUGGAUGGAUGGAUGAAUGAAUGAAUGAAUGAAUGAAUUGAAUUUCAGUAAAUGGGUGACGAUCAAGCUUCUGCAGAACUUAAUCACUGAAUCAAGUGUGAUGGAGCAGGGGAACAAGUAAACCAUGCAGGACAGUAGCCCCCAAGGACCAGGAUUGCUUACUCCUGACUUAUAUCAUCUACUGAAUCAAACUAUAUCUCAAUACCUAAAAAUGGAGUUACCCAUUUUUGUUUUUGCUAAAGGAUGUUGAACCUUUCUAUCAAAAUUUCUUAUCCCCCCCCACAAUGAUUUAAACAUCACUUGUAGUUUUUCUGUCUAAUGUACAAAGUAAAAACAGGAAUUAUCUAACAACAGUUGAUCAGUUGCCCCAUGGUUAGAGUUCUAUCUAUACAAACCAAUACAAAGUUGUUCAGAUCCAAUCUAUGAGUAUUUUAACAGGAGUAGGCACUUUGGAACAACAACACGUAUUCCAGUGGAACACAGGGAGUGUGUAAACGGUUAUAUGAAGAUGAGCAAAGUUUUAUGUACGAUGUUCAUUUCAAGGUCUUUAGAUCUCAAUGACAAGAAGUGUCAGAGCAGUUACGCUGCAUGUAAAUGCCCAGUGAGACAAUUUAAUUGCUCUCUUGAUUACAACUUUCUUUAAGAGCAGAAUUACUUGGCAGAUGGGUCUGAUUUGCAACAUGUAUUUAUAUAUAUAAAAAGAAAAGAUGGCCCUGUUCACACAAAGAAAAUAAAAUGGGAUAAUUUAUAUUAAUGUGUCUUUUUUUCCUUGCGUUACACCAACUAAACACUUAAUCAUGGCUCUAUCUAUCUUUGGUGCUACAAAUCUUUCUUUACUGUAAUGGACGCCUUGGUCAUUAAAAUGUGCAGCAAAUCACUUUACUGUUUAUCAUAAAAGUGUCACAUGAAACAUCAGAGCCGUUAAAAGUAGUGGGAAGAGUGCCAAAUCUCAUAUAGGUACAAUAAAACAUUCAGAAAUAUGCUUUAUAUUGCUGGCAUUUACUGCAUCAAUAAACUCCCAUGAAUGACAAAUGUGUGAUGACGGGUGAAAACAUUAGCAUGAAAAAUGCUGCUACAAAAACAAUCUAUGUACGGAUAAUUGUAAAAGAAAAAAGAAAAGGCUCAAACAACAGAUGUCUCUUUCCUGAGAUGGAAAGCCUCAUGGCAAUGAU
Long non-coding RNA from Austrofundulus limnaeus, 1839 nucleotides. RefSeq lists it as uncharacterized. The record is from RefSeq and is a predicted model, not a curated record. NCBI's taxonomy places the organism in Eukaryota, Metazoa, Chordata, Actinopteri, Cyprinodontiformes, Rivulidae. The transcript has 3 exons.